GUGGGGAAUCUUGCGCAAUGGGCGAAAGCCUGACGCAGCCAUGCCGCGUGAAUGAUGAAGGUCUUAGGAUUGUAAAAUUCUUUCACCGGGGACGAUAAUGACGGUACCCGGAGAAGAAGCUCCGGCUAACUUCGUGCCAGCAGCCUCGGUAAUACGAAGGGGGCUAGCGUUGCUCGGAAUUACUGGGCGUAAAGGGCGCGUAGGCGGACAGCUUAGUCAGAGGUGAAAGCCCAGGGCUCAACCUUGGAAUUGCCUUUGAUACUGGCUGUCUUGAGUUUGGGAGAGGUGAGUGGAACUCCGAGUGUAGAGGUGAAAUUCGUAGAUAUUCGGAAGAACACCAGUGGCGAAGGCGACUCACUGGCCCAAUACUGACGCUGAGGCGCGAAAGCGUGGGGAGCAAACAGGAUUAGAAACCCUGGUAGUCC
This 425-nucleotide ribosomal RNA is filed under the name uncultured bacterium. RNAcentral describes it as "partial 16S ribosomal RNA". It matches the Rfam family "Bacterial small subunit ribosomal RNA", at positions 354 to 796 of the family's 1533-position model. The record is from RNAcentral.